CAUGCAAGUCGAACGAGAGUGCUUGCACUCUAGUGGCGAACGGGUGAGUANCACGGUAUCUAAUUUGCCUUUUUGAGGGGAAUAACCGUUGGAAACGACGGCUAAUACCGCAUAGGUUAUCGUUAGGCAUCUAAUGAUAAUUAAAGGUGCGCAUUUGCACUACANAAAGAUAAGGAUGCGCUGCAUUAGUUAGUUGGUAAGGUAAUGGCUUACCAAGACGAUGAUGCAUANCCGACCUGAGAGGGUGAACGGCCACACUGGGAUUGAGACACGGCCCAGACUCCUACGGGAGGCAGCAGUAGGGAAUUUUUCACAAUGGGCGAAAGCCUGAUGGAGCAAUGCCGCGUGACUGAUGAAGGCCUUCGGNUUGUAAAGGUCUGUUGUAAGGAAAGAAUAGUAAGAAUAGGAAAUGAUUCUUAUUUGACGGUACUUUACCAGAAAGCCACGGCAAACUAUGUGCCAGCAGCCGCGGUAAUACAUAGGUGGCAAGCGUUAUCCGGAUUUAUUGGGCGUAAAGGGUGCGUAGGCGGUAAUAUAAGUCUAAGGUUAAAGAUCGAAGCUCAACUUCGAUUUGCCUUGGAAACUGUAUAACUAGAGUACAGGAGAGGUUAGUGGAAUUCCAUGUGUAGCGGUGAAAUGCGUAGAUAUAUGGAGGAACACCAGUGGCGAAGGCGACUAACUGGCCUGUAACUGACGCUGAGGCACGAAAGCAGGAGUAUCAAAUAGGAUUAGAUACCCUAGUAGUUCCUGCCGUAAACGAUGAGNACUAAGUGUCGGCUUUAAUGUCGGUGCUGUAGCUAACGCAUUAAGUACUCCGCCUGAGUAGNAUGCUCGCAAGAGUGAAACUCAAAGGAAUUGACGGGGGCCCGCACAAGCGGUGGAUCAUGUGGUUUAAUUCGAAGCAACGCGAAGAACCUUACCCAGACNUGACAUCCAGUGCAAUGCUAUAGAAAUAUAGUGGAGGUUAACACUGAGACAGGUGGNGCAUGGUUGUCGUCAGCUCGNGUCGUGANAUGUUGGGUUAAGUCCCGCAACGAGCGCAACCCUUAUCAUUAGUUGCUAACAUUUAGNUGAGGACUCUAAUGAGACUGCUAGUGCAAGCUAGAGGAAGGUGGGGAUGACGUCAAAUCAUCAUGCCCCUUAUGUCUGGGGCUACACACGCUGAUACAAUGGUCGGUACAAAGAGUCGCAAACUCGCAAGGGCAAGCUAAUCUCAAAAAGCCGAUCUCAGUUCGGAUUGAAGUCUGCAACUCGACUCCAUGAAGUUGAAAUCGCUAGUAAUCGCGGAUCAGCAAUGCCGCGGUGAAUACGUUCUCGGGUCUUGUACACACCGNCCCGUCACACCAUGGGAGUGGGUUGCAAAAGAAGUAGGUAGCUUAACCUUCGGGAGGGCGCUUACCACUUUGUGAUUCAUGACUGGGGUGAAGUCGUAACAAGGUAACC
This 1443-nucleotide ribosomal RNA is filed under the name uncultured bacterium. RNAcentral describes it as "16S ribosomal RNA". It matches the Rfam family "Bacterial small subunit ribosomal RNA". The record is from RNAcentral.